This 254-nucleotide ribosomal RNA is filed under the name uncultured bacterium. Its description in RNAcentral is "partial 16S ribosomal RNA". It matches the Rfam family "Bacterial small subunit ribosomal RNA", at positions 524 to 776 of the family's 1533-position model. The record is from RNAcentral.
UACAGAGGUCUCAAGCGUUGUUCGGAUUCAUUGGGCGUAAAGGGCGCGUAGGCGGCCACCGCAAGUCGACUGUGAAAUCUCUGGGCUUAACCCAGAAAGGUCAGCCGAUACUGCGGGGCUAGAGUGCAGAAGGGGCAACUGGAAUUCUCGGUGUAGCGGUGAAAUGCGUAGAUAUCGAGAGGAACACCUGCGGCGAAGGCGGGUUGCUGGGCUGACACUGACGCUGAGACGCGAAAGCGUGGGGAGCGAACAGG